RNAcentral lists this ribosomal RNA (1342 nucleotides) under uncultured bacterium. RNAcentral's name for it is "16S ribosomal RNA". It matches the Rfam family "Bacterial small subunit ribosomal RNA", at positions 28 to 1378 of the family's 1533-position model. The record is from RNAcentral.
GACGAACGCUGGCGGCGUGCUUAACACAUGCAAGUCGAACGGAAAGGCCCUGCUUUUGUGGGGUGCUCGAGUGGCGAACGGGUGAGUAACACGUGAGUAACCUGCCCUUGACUUUGGGAUAACUUCAGGAAACUGGGGCUAAUACCGGAUAGGAGCUCCUGCUGCAUGGUGGGGGUUGGAAAGUUUCGGCGGUUGGGGAUGGACUCGCGGCUUAUCAGCUUGUUGGUGGGGUAGUGGCUUACCAAGGCUUUGACGGGUAGCCGGCCUGAGAGGGUGACCGGCCACAUUGGGACUGAGAUACGGCCCAGACUCCUACGGGAGGCAGCAGUGGGGAAUAUUGCACAAUGGGCGGAAGCCUGAUGCAGCAACGCCGCGUGCGGGAUGACGGCCUUCGGGUUGUAAACCGCUUUCGCCUGUGACGAAGCGUGAGUGACGGUAAUGGGUAAAGAAGCACCGGCUAACUACGUGCCAGCAGCCGCGGUGAUACGUAGGGUGCGAGCGUUGUCCGGAUUUAUUGGGCGUAAGGGCUCGUAGAUGGUUGAUCGCGUCGGAAGUGUAAUCUUGGGGCUUAACCCUGAGCGUGCUUUCGAUACGGGUUGACUUGAGGAAUUUAGGGGAGAAUGGAAUUCCUGGUGGAGCGGUGGAAUGCGCAGAUAUCAGGAGGAACACCAGUGGCGAAGGCGGUUCUCUGGGCCUUUCCUGACGCUGAGGAGCGAAAGCGUGGGGAGCGAACAGGCUUAGAUACCCUGGUAGUCCACGCUGUAAACGGUGGGUACUAGGUGUGGGGUCCAUUCCACGGGUUCCGUGCCGUAGCUAACGCUUUAAGUACCCCGCCUGGGGAGUACGGCCGCAAGGCUAAAACUCAAAGGAAUUGACGGGGCCCCGCACAAGCGGCGGAGCAUGCGGAUUAAUUCGAUGCAACGCGUAGAACCUUACCUGGGUUUGACAUGGAUCGGGAGUGCUCAGAGAUGGGUGUGCCUCUUUUGGGGUCGGUUCACAGGUGGUGCAUGGCUGUCGUCAGCUCGUGUCGUGAGAUGUUGGGUUAAGUCCCGCAACGAGCGCAACCCUUGUUCACUGUUGCCAGCACGUUAUGGUGGGGACUCAGUGGAGACCGCCGGGGUCAACUCGGAGGAAGGUGGGGAUGACGUCAAGUCAUCAUGCCCCUUAUGUCCAGGGCUUCACGCAUGCUACAAUGGCUGGUACAGAGAGUGGCGAGCCUGUGAGGGUGAGCGAAUCUCGGAAAGCCGGUCUCAGUUCGGAUUGGGGUCUGCAACUCGACCUCAUGAAGUCGGAGUCGCUAGUAAUCGCAGAUCAGCAACGCUGCGGUGAAUAAAUUCCCGGG